Molecule: ribosomal RNA, 247 nt
Filed under: uncultured bacterium
Lineage: Bacteria
Description: partial 16S ribosomal RNA
Rfam family: Bacterial small subunit ribosomal RNA
Source: RNAcentral
CGAGUGGCGAACGGGGUGAGUAACGCGUGAGGAACCGUGCCUCAAAGAGGGGGGACAACAGUUGGAAACGACUGCUAAUACCGCAUAAGCCCACGACCCGGCAUCGGGUAGAGGGAAAAGGAGCAAUCCGCUUUGAGAUGGCCUCGCGUCCGAUUAGCUAGUUGGUGAGGUAACGGCCCACCAAGGCAACGAUCGGUAGCCGGACUGAGAGGUUGAACGGCCACAUUGGGACUGAGACACGGCCCAG